UAAGGAAUAUUGGACAAUGGACGAAAGUCUGAUCCAGCCAUGCCGCGUGAAGGAUUAAGGUCCUCUGGAUUGUAAACUUCUUUUAUAUGGGGCGAAAAAAGGGCAUUCUUGCUCACUUGACAGUACCAUAUGAAUAAGCACCGGCUAACUCCGUGCCAGCAGCCGCGGUAAUACGGAGGGUGCAAGCGUUAUCCGGAUUUACUGGGUUUAAAGGAUGCGUAGGCUGAUAGGUAAGUCAGUGGUGAAAUCCUGGAGCUUAACUCCAGAACUGCCAUUGAUACUAUCUAUCUUGAAUAUUGUGGAGGUUUGCGGAAUAUGUCAUGUAGCGGUGAAAUGCUUAGAUAUGACAUGGAACACCUAUUGCGAAGGCAGCAGGCUACACAUAUAUUGACGCUGAGCACG
Molecule: ribosomal RNA, 402 nt
Filed under: uncultured bacterium
Lineage: Bacteria
Description: bacterial SSU rRNA
Rfam family: Bacterial small subunit ribosomal RNA
Source: RNAcentral